AGAGCGAACGCUGGCGGCAGGCUUAACACAUGCAAGUCGAGCGGGCGUAGCAAUACGUCAGCGGCAGACGGGUGAGUAACGCGUGGGAACGUACCUUUUGGUUCGGAACAACCCAGGGAAACUUGGGCUAAUACCGGAUAAGCCCUUACGGGGAAAGAUUUAUCGCCGAAAGAUCGGCCCGCGUCUGAUUAGCUAGUUGGUGAGGUAAUGGCUCACCGAGGCGACGAUCAGUAGCUGGUCUGAGAGGAUGAUCAGCCACAUUGGGACUGAGACACGGCCCAAACUCCUACGGGAGGCAGCAGUGGGGAAUAUUGGACAAUGGGCGCAAGCCUGAUCCAGCCAUGCCGCGUGAGUGAUGAAGGCCCUAGGGUUGUAAAGCUCUUUUGUGCGGGAAGAUAAUGACGGUACCGCAAGAAUAACGCCCCGGCUAACUUCGCGCCAGCAGCCGC
Molecule: ribosomal RNA, 449 nt
Filed under: uncultured bacterium
Lineage: Bacteria
Description: SSU rRNA
Rfam family: Bacterial small subunit ribosomal RNA
Source: RNAcentral